GAUGAACGCUGGCGGCGUGCCUAAUACAUGCAAGUCGAGCGAACAGACGAGGCGCUUGCUCCGCUGACGUUAGCGGCGGACGGGUGAGUAACACGUGUAUAACCUACCUAUAAGACUGGGAUAACUUCGGGAAACCGGAGAUAAUACCGGAUAAUAUAUUGAACCGCAUGGUUCAAUAGUGAAAUACGGUUUUGCUGUCACUUAUAGAUGGAUCCGCGCCGCAUUAGCUAGUUGGUAAGGUAACGGGUUACCAAGGCGACGAUGCGUAGCCGACCGGAGGGGGGGGUCGGCCACACGAGAGCUGAGCCGCGGACCAGACUCCUGCGGUACGCAGCAGUCGGGAAUCUGCCGCAACGGGCGAAAGCCUUACAGAGCAACGCCGCGUGAGUGAUGACGGUCUUCGGAUCGGAAAGCUCUGUUAUUAGUGGAGAACAAAUGUGUAAGUAGCUAUGCACGUAUUGACGGUACCUGAUCAGAAAGCCCCGGCUAACUACGUG
RNAcentral lists this ribosomal RNA (497 nucleotides) under uncultured bacterium. RNAcentral's name for it is "partial 16S ribosomal RNA". It matches the Rfam family "Bacterial small subunit ribosomal RNA", at positions 28 to 507 of the family's 1533-position model. The record is from RNAcentral.